Long non-coding RNA from Mobula hypostoma (lesser devil ray), 441 nucleotides. RefSeq lists it as uncharacterized. The transcript has 3 exons. Lineage: Eukaryota; Metazoa; Chordata; Chondrichthyes; Myliobatiformes; Myliobatidae. The record is from RefSeq and is a predicted model, not a curated record.
CGCAGCGGAAGCGUGCUGGGCCCAUAACCCAGAGGUCGAUGGAUCGAAACCAUCCUCUGCUAAGCGAUAAUUUUUUUUUAUUCGGCAGAGCGAUAGAUUCUGUCAUCUCCCGUGCUUCUGUUUUCCCUCCUGUCCGCGUUAUCUCUCGUGGUGGUGCUCCUGUUGUUGAGAAUGAGUUCUCUUGGUUUAGACCGACUGAGGAUCAAGGACCAAGUCAAAGAGAAGAGAAGUGCCAGAAGAUGUCUGCAGUUGCUGGAUUUGGAAGACAUAAAUCUAUCAUACAUUUACAUUCCAGUUUGAUGAAGCAAUCCCAUCCAUGAUAUGAACCUGCCACAUUUGCUUUCUGUUAAUGUGUUAUCCCACAGAUGGGGUACAUAUUAGAAACAUUUACCAUAAAUAAAAUAAAAUUUUAGGAAAUUUGGUUAUUCUGAAGUUAUCACA